RNAcentral lists this transfer RNA (88 nucleotides) under Acidimicrobiales bacterium. RNAcentral describes it as "tRNA-Ser". It matches the Rfam family "tRNA". From Rfam's summary of the family: Transfer RNA (tRNA) molecules are approximately 80 nucleotides in length. Their secondary structure includes four short double-helical elements and three loops (D, anti-codon, and T loops). Further hydrogen bonds mediate the characteristic L-shaped molecular structure. tRNAs have two regions of fundamental functional importance: the anti-codon, which is responsible for specific mRNA codon recognition, and the 3' end, to which the tRNAs corresponding amino acid is attached (by aminoacyl-tRNA synthetases). tRNAs cope with the degeneracy of the genetic code in two manners: having more than one tRNA (with a specific anti-codon) for a particular amino acid; and 'wobble' base-pairing, i.e. permitting non-standard base-pairing at the 3rd anti-codon position. The record is from RNAcentral. Lineage: Bacteria; Bacillati; Actinomycetota; Acidimicrobiia; Acidimicrobiales. RNAcentral also lists the same sequence under 1 other name.
GGAGGGGUGCGAGAGCGGCCGAAUCGGCACGAUUGGAAAUCGUGUGUGGGGCAACCCACCGUGGGUUCAAAUCCCACCCUCUCCGCCA